GCCGGACAUGGUGGCGCAUGCCUGUAAUCCCAGCUACUCGGGAGGCUGAGGCAGGAGAAUCGCCUGAACCCGGGAGGCAGAGGUUGCGGUGAGCCGAGAUCACGCCAUUGCACUCCAGCCUGGGAGCGCACUCCAAAAGGAAAGAGUUUGGCGGUUUUUGCCCAGGCUGGAGUACAGUGGUGGGAUCUCAGCUCACCGCAACCUCUGCCUCCGGGUUCAGGCGAUUCUCCUGCCUCA
This 237-nucleotide signal recognition particle RNA is filed under the name Mandrillus leucophaeus (drill). Its description in RNAcentral is "Metazoan signal recognition particle RNA (ENSMLEG00000008218.1)". It matches the Rfam family "Metazoan signal recognition particle RNA". From Rfam's summary of the family: The signal recognition particle (SRP) is a universally conserved ribonucleoprotein. It is involved in the co-translational targeting of proteins to membranes. Lineage: Eukaryota; Metazoa; Chordata; Mammalia; Primates; Cercopithecidae. The record is from RNAcentral.